GUCUCUAUGAAGUAAUGCACAGUGCAAUUGAAGAGGCACGUUAUGUCAGGCAAGAAAGAAGCUGAAGAGCUAUACUGCCUCGAGAAAGAAAGCCUAUCUACUGUGAAUUACUCUGCUGUUAUUCACCUUCUCCUGGAACCCCUCAGAAUGGCACAGGCACUGUGGAGCAGGAGGACUGAGAGAAUGCUGUCCUCGAAGCUCUCUAUGAACUGUCUGAAAAGGCUUUCUGAUGGGAUCACAAAAAGCUCAAGGGGAAAAAAGGUCAACAGAAACAAGUAUAAAUUUCAGCAAAGACAAAGUCUGCAUCAUCUUUUACAUUUCAAGAUCCCUAUCUGCUCAGAAACUCAAUUGCUCAACUUCUAGUUUGCAUGUCUUUGACAAUCUUCGUUGAAAUCAUAUGCAAAUACUACAUCUAUUACAGUUAGGG
This 427-nucleotide long non-coding RNA is filed under the name Coturnix japonica (Japanese quail). Its description in RNAcentral is "lncRNA (ENSCJPG00005007268.1)". Lineage: Eukaryota; Metazoa; Chordata; Aves; Galliformes; Phasianidae. The record is from RNAcentral.